AACACUGUUAACCUGCGGUACCUGCGGAAGGAUCAUUACAGUAUUCUUUUGCCAGCGCUUAACUGCGCGGCGAAAAACCUUACACACAGUGUCUUUUUGAUACAGAACUCUUGCUUUGGUUUGGCCUAGAGAUAGGUUGGGCCAGAGGUUUAACAAAACACAAUUUAAUUAUUUUUACAGUUAGUCAAAUUUUGAAUUAAUCUUCAAAACUUUCAACAAUGGAUCUCAGAUCGGAAGAGC
This 240-nucleotide unclassified non-coding RNA is filed under the name soil metagenome. Its description in RNAcentral is "partial contains 5.8S ribosomal RNA, internal transcribed spacer 2, and large subunit ribosomal RNA". The record is from RNAcentral.